RNAcentral lists this ribosomal RNA (254 nucleotides) under uncultured bacterium. Its description in RNAcentral is "partial 16S ribosomal RNA". It matches the Rfam family "Bacterial small subunit ribosomal RNA", at positions 524 to 776 of the family's 1533-position model. The record is from RNAcentral.
UACGGGGGGAGCAAGCGUUGUUCGGAUUUACUGGGCGUAAAGGGCGCGUAGGCGGUCAGCACAAGUCAAUUGUGAAAUCUCCGAGCUUAACUCGGAAAGGUCAACUGAAACUGUGCGACUAGAGUGCGGAAGGGGCAACUGGAAUUCUUGGUGUAGCGGUGAAAUGCGUAGAUAUCAAGAGGAACACCUGCGGCGAAGGCGGGUUGCUGGGCCGAUACUGACGCUGAGGAGCGAAAGCGUGGGGAGCGAACAGG